GGCCGGUCGGGGCUUGCGCCCCAGCAGUCCGCACGCCAGGUGGAAGUGCUUGUGAGGUCGGGCUCCGCCCUUGCGCCCCAGCAGGCCUCGCGUCAGGUGGAAGUGCUCGCGAGGUUUCCCAGGGCCACGCGGUAGCCGUGCAGGGGCGGGGUGGGGUUUACGACGGUGGCCGGGGCUGGGGAGCCGUGACAACUUGCUGGGCGCCAGAAAGUUCAUCCAAUCAGUUCAUCAAGGCAAGAGAUUUUCAUUUUGAAAACAAAAAGGAGGUAUUGUGGCAAUUUAGGAAGGAAAUUUUUGUUUAUUUGUUUUUGAGGAAGAUUCGCCCUGAGCUAACAUCUGCCGUCAAUCCUCCUCUUUUUGCUGAGGAAGACUGGCCCUGAGCUAACAUCUGUGCGCAUCUUCCCCGACUUUUUUAUAUGUGGGAUGCCUGCCACAGCAUGGCUUGACAAGCGGCAUGUAGGUCCAUGCCCAGGAUCCAAACUGGCGAACCCCAGGCCGCCGAAGCUGAAUGCGUGAACUUAACCGCUGUACCACCAGAUGCGGACAUUGAAGUGCAAAGAAAUGAAAUAAUUGCCCAAGGUCAUGGAGCUAGAAUGCAGUGAAGCCAAGCUACAAAUCUAGACUCUUAAGCCCUUUGCUCCCAAGUCUAUUAAUCUCUGCUUCCAGUAGGAAUCUCCAGCGAUAAAACAAGCUUAAUUUAAACAACUAGGGAAACACCUUCCAAUGCGCUAAUAAUAUUACAAGUAAAAAGGCUGUAAGUGCUCCAGGAAAGUAGAAAAUCAAUAAAG
Molecule: long non-coding RNA, 788 nt
Filed under: Equus caballus (horse)
Lineage: Eukaryota; Metazoa; Chordata; Mammalia; Perissodactyla; Equidae
Description: lncRNA (ENSECAG00000059783.1)
Source: RNAcentral